Molecule: ribosomal RNA, 433 nt
Filed under: uncultured bacterium
Lineage: Bacteria
Description: partial 16S ribosomal RNA
Rfam family: Bacterial small subunit ribosomal RNA
Source: RNAcentral
AGCGAACGCUGGCGGCAGGCCUAACACAUGCAAGUCGAACGAACUCUUCGGAGUUAGUGGCGGACGGGUGAGUAACACGUGGGAACGUGCCCUUUGGUACGGAAUAACUCAGGGAAACUUGAGCUAAUACCGUAUGUGCCCUUCGGGGGAAAGAUUUAUCGCCAUUGGAGCGGCCCGCGUCUGAUUCGCUAGUUGGUGAGGUAAAGGCUCACCAAGGCUACGAUCAGUAGCUGGUUUGAGAGGAUGAUCAGCCACAUUGGGACUGAGACACGGCCCAAACUCCUACGGGAGGCAGCAGUGGGGAAUCUUGCGCAAUGGGCGAAAGCCUGACGCAGCCAGGCCGCGUGAAUGAUGAAGGUCUUAGGAUUGUAAAAUUCUUUCACCGGGGACGAUAAUGACGGUACCCGGAGAAGAAGCCCCGGCUAACUUCGUG